CCCACCACAACUCAGCCAAUAAAAGGUAGGGAGGAGAAAAUCAAAACUUGAAGGGGCACCGAUCUCCCAACCAUGGCGGCGGUGGACGACAAUGCAGGUGUAGAAAUGAAGUAGGAGGAGAGAAGUCGCCAAUCUAGCCAUCCCCACGUGUGGUCUGUCAGUGGCGCGUGCAACAAAGCUUGGCUCUAGAUCCAGCAGCCCAAAGCACGACAAAAUACACAGAAUCGCCAACCACAAGCCACGGACGCCCUGACCUCAGAGCUGUCC
RNAcentral lists this long non-coding RNA (267 nucleotides) under Populus trichocarpa (black cottonwood). Its description in RNAcentral is "long non-coding RNA (PTRI_LNC004383)". The record is from RNAcentral. Lineage: Eukaryota; Viridiplantae; Streptophyta; Magnoliopsida; Malpighiales; Salicaceae.